AUGCUCAGUUUGCCAGCACAUAUGCUAAAAUUGGAAUGAUACAAAAAGGAUUAGCAUGGCCCCUGAAUAAGAAUAACACAAAUCUGUGAAACCAUUCCCCAUUUUU
This is a small nuclear RNA of Bos taurus (domestic cattle), 106 nucleotides long. NCBI's taxonomy places the organism in Eukaryota, Metazoa, Chordata, Mammalia, Artiodactyla, Bovidae. The record is from Ensembl.